Lycium barbarum (goji berry) is the source of this 231-nucleotide long non-coding RNA. RefSeq lists it as uncharacterized. NCBI's taxonomy places the organism in Eukaryota, Viridiplantae, Streptophyta, Magnoliopsida, Solanales, Solanaceae. The transcript has 3 exons. The record is from RefSeq and is a predicted model, not a curated record.
AUUAAAGGGUCCUUUACAACUUGGUGUAAUUAUUUUGGAAGAAAGAGCACUUGUUUCUUCAAGUUGACAACUUGGUCAAGUGAAAAAGAUUGUAGAAAAAGAUUUUGGCGAACUUGAAACUUGAUUUUGGAGACGUGUAUGAAGCGGAAAAGGUCAGCAGACAGGUGGACGUGAUCCUUAGAAGCUCUACCAGCCGCACUUGACAGCGCUCCAGUUGUUCCGGAGCCUCAC